GAUAGCGUGGCCGAGCGGUCCUAAGGAGGCCUGGAUUAAGGCUCCAGUCUCUUCGGAGGCGUGGGUUCGAAUCCCACCGCUGUCA
This 85-nucleotide transfer RNA is filed under the name Merluccius polli (Benguela hake). It matches the Rfam family "tRNA". From Rfam's summary of the family: Transfer RNA (tRNA) molecules are approximately 80 nucleotides in length. Lineage: Eukaryota; Metazoa; Chordata; Actinopteri; Gadiformes; Merlucciidae. The record is from Rfam by way of RNAcentral.